AGAACUUUCAUACAUGUUACAAAAGAAAGAUCAACUUUUGUUACAUAUACCACACUUAUUAUUAAUAAAAAAAAGUUUUAAAUUAUAUUUCAAGCCAAUAUUAAGAUUAUUAAGAUGUCUUAGAAAAGAAGAAUGCAAAUAUUCUUAUUGAAAAAGAGAAGCCUAGAAGCUACAAAUACUUAGUAUCAGGAAGGAUUGUAGUCUAAGAGAAAAAUGGAGAAAGAUAAUUCUUACUUCCAAUACUCUUUACUUAUAGGUGGUGGUUUGUCCACCAAUGAGGCAACUUCCAUCCAUUUGAUAUUACAUCCAUUUCUACCUCAUCUUACUAAAGCCUCGGUAGUACCACAAUAACUUACUUUACCUCUUUGCUAUCUUUUUACUAUUAGCAAUAUAUUAUGCUUAAACUUUAUGUGGUUGUAACUAAGCAAGUACUUGCUAUUCUUCAACAC
This 449-nucleotide long non-coding RNA is filed under the name Physcomitrium patens. Its description in RNAcentral is "long non-coding RNA (PPAT_LNC001757)". The record is from RNAcentral. Lineage: Eukaryota; Viridiplantae; Streptophyta; Bryopsida; Funariales; Funariaceae.